GGGCUUCUUUUGCUUCCACAAAUGGAGACUGCACACUAUCCGCAUCCGAAUCACUUCCUGAUGAACUCCCUGACUCUGAAUCUGCAUAGAGUCAAACACCGAAAACCGUUUAAACAUUGGCAAAAGAUAAACAUUUAAAUGAGAAAUAGAUGAAAGGGUAAGACUAUAUUACCACUAGAAGAAGAACUGCCACUCGAACUGAAGCUGCCAGAAGAACUAGAGCCAC
This 226-nucleotide small RNA is filed under the name Arabidopsis thaliana (thale cress). RNAcentral describes it as "ATSL246200". The record is from RNAcentral. Lineage: Eukaryota; Viridiplantae; Streptophyta; Magnoliopsida; Brassicales; Brassicaceae.